GAUGAAGAACGUAGCGAAAUGCGAUACUUGGUGUGAAUUGCAGAAUCCCGUGAACCAUCGAGUCUUUGAACGCAAGUUGCGCCCGAAGCCAUUAGGCCGAGGGCACGCCUGCCUGGGCGUCACACGUCGUUGCCCCCCCAUCUACUCCUUCGGGAUUGCGGGGGGCGGAUGAUGGCCUCUCGUGCGCCUCGUCGCGCGGUUGGCCUAAAUGCCAAGUCCUCGGCGACGCACGCCACGACAAUCGGUGGUUGCGAAACCUCGGUUGCCUGUCGUGUGCGGUCGUCGCGCAUCGAGGGCUCGAAAAAAUUGCCGGGCUUCGGCUCGACUUUCAACGCGACCCCAGGUCAGGCGGGGUUACCCGCUGAAUUUAAGCAUAUCAAUAAGCGGAGAA
Molecule: unclassified non-coding RNA, 391 nt
Filed under: soil metagenome
Description: partial contains 5.8S ribosomal RNA, internal transcribed spacer 2, and large subunit ribosomal RNA
Rfam family: 5.8S ribosomal RNA (bases 1-122)
Source: RNAcentral